This 21-nucleotide non-coding RNA is filed under the name Arabidopsis thaliana (thale cress). The record is from RNAcentral. Lineage: Eukaryota; Viridiplantae; Streptophyta; Magnoliopsida; Brassicales; Brassicaceae.
CUACAAACGGGUGACCCGGCC